CCUACGGGAGGCAGCAGUGGGGAAUAUUGCACAAUGGGGGAAACCCUGAUGCAGCGACGCCGCGUGAGUGAAGAAGUAAUUCGUUAUGUAAAGCUCUAUCAGCAGGGAAGAAAAUGACGGUACCUGAGUAAGAAGACCCGGCUAACUACGUGCCAGCAGCCGCGGUAAUACGUAGGGGGCAAGCGUGAUCCGGAUUGACUGGGUGUAAAGGGAGCGUAGACGGCAGUGCAAGUCUGGAGUGAAAGGCGGGGGCUCAACCCCCGGACUGCUCUGGAAACUGUACGGCUUGAGUGCAGGAGAGGUAAGUGGAAUUCCUAGGGUAGCGGUGAAAUGCGUAGAUAUUAGGAGGAACACCGGUGGCGAAGGCGGCUUACUGGACUGUAACUGACGUUGAGGCUCGAAAGCGUGGGGAGCAAACAGGAUUAGAUACCCUAGUAGUC
Molecule: ribosomal RNA, 440 nt
Filed under: uncultured bacterium
Lineage: Bacteria
Description: partial 16S ribosomal RNA
Rfam family: Bacterial small subunit ribosomal RNA
Source: RNAcentral